UUAAGCGACUAAGCGUACACGGUGGAUGCCCUGGCAGUCAGAGGCGAUGAAGGACGUGCUAAUCUGCGAAAAGCGUCGGUAAGGUGAUAUGAACCGUUAUAACCGGCGAUGUCCGAAUGGGGAAACCCAGUGCAAUUCGUUGCACUAUCGUUAACUGAAUACAUAGGUUAACGAGGCGAACCGGGGGAACUGAAACAUCUAAGUACCCCGAGGAAAAGAAAUCAACCGAGAUUCCCCCAGUAGCGGCGAGCGAACGGGGAGCAGCCCAGAGUCUGAAUCAGCUUGUGUGUUAGUGGAACGGUCUGGAAAGUCCGACGGUACAGGGUGAUAGUCCCGUACACCAAAAUGCACAGGUUGUGAACUCGAAGAGUAGGGCGGGACACGUGGUAUCCUGUCUGAAUAUGGGGGGACCAUCCUCCAAGGCUAAAUACUCCUGACUGACCGAUAGUGAACCAGUACCGUGAGGGAAAGGCGAAAAGAACCCCGGCGAGGGGAGUGAAAAAGAACCUGAAACCGUGUACGUACAAGCAGUGGGAGCACCUUCGGGUGUGACUGCGUACCUUUUGUAUAAUGGGUCAGCGACUUAUAUUCUGUAGCAAGGUUAACCGUAUAGGGGAGCCGCAGGGAAACCGAGUCUUAACUGGGCGUUAAGUUGCAGGGUAUAGACCCGAAACCCGGUGAUCUAGCCAUGGGCAGGUUGAAGGUUGGGUAACACUAACUGGAGGACCGAACCGACUAAUGUUGAAAAAUUAGCGGAUGACUUGUGGCUGGGGGUGAAAGGCCAAUCAAACCGGGAGAUAGCUGGUUCUCCCCGAAAGCUAUUUAGGUAGCGCCUCGUGAAUUCAUCUUCGGGGGUAGAGCACUGUUUCGGCUAGGGGGUCAUCCCGACUUACCAACCCGAUGCAAACUACGAAUACCGAAGAAUGUUAUCACGGGAGACACACGGCGGGUGCUAACGUCCGUCGUGAAGAGGGAAACAACCCAGACCGCCAGCUAAGGUCCCAAAGUCAUGGUUAAGUGGGAAACGAUGUGGGAAGGCACAGACAGCCAGGAUGUUGGCUUAGAAGCAGCCAUCAUUUAAAGAAAGCGUAAUAGCUCACUGGUCGAGUCGGCCUGCGCGGAAGAUGUAACGGGGCUAAACCAUGCACCGAAGCUGCGGCAGCGACACUAUGUGUUGUUGGGUAGGGGAGCGUUCUGUAAGCCUGCGAAGGUGACCUGUGAGGGUUGCUGGAGGUAUCAGAAGUGCGAAUGCUGACAUAAGUAACGAUAAAGCGGGUGAAAAGCCCGCUCGCCGGAAGACCAAGGGUUCCUGUCCAACGUUAAUCGGGGCAGGGUGAGUCGACCCCUAAGGCGAGGCCGAAAGGCGUAGUCGAUGGGAAACAGGUUAAUAUUCCUGUACUUGGUGUUACUGCGAAGGGGGGACGGAGAAGGCUAUGUUAGCCGGGCGACGGUUGUCCCGGUUUAAGCAUGUAGGCUGGUUGUCCAGGCAAAUCCGGAUAAUCAAGGCUGAGGUGUGAUGACGAGGCACUACGGUGCUGAAGUAACAAAUGCCCUGCUUCCAGGAAAAGCCUCUAAGCAUCAGGUAACAUCAAAUCGUACCCCAAACCGACACAGGUGGUCAGGUAGAGAAUACCAAGGCGCUUGAGAGAACUCGGGUGAAGGAACUAGGCAAAAUGGUGCCGUAACUUCGGGAGAAGGCACGCUGGUGUGUAGGUGAAGUCCCUGCGGAUGGAGCUGAGACCAGUCGAAGAUACCAGCUGGCUGCAACUGUUUAUUAAAAACACAGCACUGUGCAAACACGAAAGUGGACGUAUACGGUGUGACGCCUGCCCGGUGCCGGAAGGUUAAUUGAUGGGGUUAUCCGUAAGGAGAAGCUCUUGAUCGAAGCCCCGGUAAACGGCGGCCGUAACUAUAACGGUCCUAAGGUAGCGAAAUUCCUUGUCGGGUAAGUUCCGACCUGCACGAAUGGCGUAAUGAUGGCCAGGCUGUCUCCACCCGAGACUCAGUGAAAUUGAACUCGCUGUGAAGAUGCAGUGUACCCGCGGCAAGACGGAAAGACCCCGUGAACCUUUACUAUAGCUUGACACUGAACAUUGAGCCUUGAUGUGUAGGAUAGGUGGGAGGCUUUGAAGCGUGGACGCCAGUCUGCGUGGAGCCAACCUUGAAAUACCACCCUUUAAUGUUUGAUGUUCUAACGUUGGCCCCUGACCGGGGUUGCGGACAGUGUCUGGUGGGUAGUUUGACUGGGGCGGUCUCCUCCCAAAGCGUAACGGAGGAGCACGAAGGUUAGCUAAUCCUGGUCGGACAUCAGGAGGUUAGUGCAAUGGCAUAAGCUAGCUUGACUGCGAGCGUGACGGCGCGAGCAGGUGCGAAAGCAGGUCAUAGUGAUCCGGUGGUUCUGAAUGGAAGGGCCAUCGCUCAACGGAUAAAAGGUACUCCGGGGAUAACAGGCUGAUACCGCCCAAGAGUUCAUAUCGACGGCGGUGUUUGGCACCUCGAUGUCGGCUCAUCACAUCCUGGGGCUGAAGUAGGUCCCAAGGGUAUGGCUGUUCGCCAUUUAAAGUGGUACGCGAGCUGGGUUUAGAACGUCGUGAGACAGUUCGGUCCCUAUCUGCCGUGGGCGCUGGAGAAUUGAGGGGGGCUGCUCCUAGUACGAGAGGACCGGAGUGGACGCAUCACUGGUGUUCGGGUUGUCAUGCCAAUG
Molecule: ribosomal RNA, 2704 nt
Filed under: human gut metagenome
Description: bacterial LSU rRNA
Rfam family: Bacterial large subunit ribosomal RNA
Source: RNAcentral